CAUAAAUUAAUUAAAUAAAACAAGUAAAUAAUUAUUUUGCUUUACUAAAUGCGUUUUUUAAAUAAUACGCUGGAUAAUUGAUAUUCAUGCAGUUAAUUUACCUUGUUGUGAAAAAUGCACUUAGUUAUUUGCACUUUUUGAAGAAAACACAAACCACUCAAAUAAACUUGUGACUGGUAACAUUAGCUAUAUUUUUUUUUUAACUCGGCAAAUAGGCAGUUCAUAGUGCUUCCAAUCACUGCCAAAGAAAAACUGAAAAAGAAAAAGAUAUGCGACGGUAAAUGGUAAAGUACCUACGGUAAGAAAAAAAAAAAGGAAACUCGAUAAUCCCGUAAAAUCGAAAAAAAAAAAACAGAGACGGCUAGAGAAAAAAAACUGGUAUGCGACGAGGAGAAGUCGCCGACGGAAGCGAGAGGCUAAGGCCGUAGUUACGCGCGACGGUAUUAGUCUCCCGCGACGUUGAUUAGUGUCCUCCGGAGGAUACUUAUGUGAUCUUUUGUAAGAUUCUUGCAGGUGCAUUGUUGUUUUCGUUGACGAGCUUCGGUGCUGGGCUUAUUUUCUUAUGCAGAGGUAGACUGUGUAGACUUGCAAAAGACAGCCUUUUGACAUCUUUGUUCACUGUCACACGAUGAAUCACGCUCUUUCCAUUAUCUGGAGCCCCUGGCUACUUUGGAGUAAGAUGGUCAGUGAGCUGAAGUCUGAGUGUGGUGGCAUUCCCAAGGCGAUUUCAGGUUCUGGACAUGUUGGAUAGCAGUUCACUGCCAUGACUUGCGACCCUUCUUCAAUCUCUUCUUGUAACAUGGAGGAUUUGAUGGCCACAUAUCAAUCCACUUUGAGAGUGGAUGAGAGUAAUGCUUGAUGAAAUCUCUCCAGUAGUGAACACUGUCUGUUGAAUGGUUAAGGCUUGUGCCAUACCUUACUGGCUCAUGAACAUUUGCAGACACAAGAAGCAUCUUCUCCUCCACAGGUAAGUCAAAGAACAAUGUUGCUGCGUCUAGGGCAUCUUUAACCACUGAUGAUGGUGUUCCAUGGUUUAUAACCUG
This is a non-coding RNA of Camelina sativa (false flax), 1043 nucleotides long. The record is from RefSeq and is a predicted model, not a curated record. NCBI's taxonomy places the organism in Eukaryota, Viridiplantae, Streptophyta, Magnoliopsida, Brassicales, Brassicaceae.